Molecule: ribosomal RNA, 377 nt
Filed under: uncultured bacterium
Lineage: Bacteria
Description: bacterial SSU rRNA
Rfam family: Bacterial small subunit ribosomal RNA
Source: RNAcentral
UAAUACGUAGGGGGCAAGCGUUGUCCGGAAUUAUUGGGCGUAAAGAGCGUGUAGGCGGCCAGGUAGGUCCGUUGUGAAAACUCGAGGCUCAACCUCGAGCUGUCGGUGGAAACCAUCUGGCUAGAGUCCGGAAGAGGAGAGUAGAAUUCCUGGUGUAGCGGUGAAAUGCGCAGAUAUCAGGAGGAAUACCCGUGGCGAAAGCGGCUCUCUGGGACGGUACUGACGCUGAGACGCGAAAGCGUGGGGAGCAAACAGGAUUAGAUACCCUGGUAGUCCACGCCGUAAACGAUGGGUGCUAGGUGUGGGGGGUGUCGACUCCCCCCGUGCCGGAGCUAACGCAUUAAGCACCCCGCCUGGGGAGUACGGCCGCAAGGCUA